RNAcentral lists this ribosomal RNA (410 nucleotides) under Acidobacteriota bacterium. RNAcentral's name for it is "Acidobacteria bacterium partial 16S ribosomal RNA". It matches the Rfam family "Bacterial small subunit ribosomal RNA", at positions 355 to 776 of the family's 1533-position model. The record is from RNAcentral. Lineage: Bacteria; Pseudomonadati; Acidobacteriota.
UCGAGAAUCAUUCACAAUGGGGGAAACCCUGAUGGUGCGACGCCGCGUGGGGGAAUGAAGGUCUUCGGAUUGUAAACCCCUGUCAUGUGGGAGCAAAUUAAAAAGAUAGUACCACAAGAGGAAGAGACGGCUAACUCUGUGCCAGCAGCCGCGGUAAUACAGAGGUCUCAAGCGUUGUUCGGAAUCACUGGGCGUAAAGCGUGCGUAGGCGGUUUCGUAAGUCGUGUGUGAAAGGCGGGGGCUCAACCCCCGGACUGCACAUGAUACUGCGAGACUAGAGUAAUGGAGGGGGAACCGGAAUUCUCGGUGUAGCAGUGAAAUGCGUAGAUAUCGAGAGGAACACUCGUGGCGAAGGCGGGUUCCUGGACAUUAACUGACGCUGAGCCACGAAGGCCAGGGGAGCGAAAGGG